This 1331-nucleotide long non-coding RNA is filed under the name Homo sapiens (human). RNAcentral's name for it is "non-protein coding lnc-TMEM248-4:1". The record is from RNAcentral. Lineage: Eukaryota; Metazoa; Chordata; Mammalia; Primates; Hominidae.
CAGGCCUUCCGCGUCGUCAGAGUGACGGUACAGUGCCUGGAGCUGGGCUGUUUUGUCUUCAGAGUGGUGCCUGGUAACCGCGACUUCCCCGCCAUGUUCUGUGUGUUGCUGGCUGGAGAAGGGUGGUUGACAAACUCUGACCCAGCACGGUGUUUCUGUGGGUCAAAACUAGAAAACUAUAUCCGGGCGCCGAGGUGAAAGGAUCCCUUCAGGCCAGGAGUUAAAGAGCAGCCUAGGCAACGUGGCGCGACCCCAUCUCUGUAGUCCCACCUCAGCUUCCCAGAUACUUGAACCCCAAAGUUCAAGGCUGCAGUGAGCUAUGAUCCCAUCACAGCACUCCAGCCUGCGAGACUGAGGUAAACCCUGUCUAAAAAAGUAAAAAAACUAUCCAAGUGUGCAACAGGGAGGGACUGCUUAAAGAAAACAGAAUUGUAUGUUCAAAUACUUUUAACAAGUGCAAAAUGUAUAGGCUGAAAUAAAUAGAGCUGGCCGAGCGCGUUUGCUCACGCCUGUAAUGCCAACAUUUUCGGUGCCCUAGGCAGGCCAUCACUUGAAGUCAGGAACUCGAGGCCAGCCUGGCCAACAUGGUGAAACCCCAUGUCUACUAAAAAUAUAAAAAUUAGGCCGGGCACCUUGCAUCGUUUCAGGGGGCUGACACCUCCCUAAGGGCCCGGUAAUUGAAUCCCUCGGAUUUGAGAGUGAGAAACCUUGGCUCAGUUCUUCCCAGGGGGAUCAGCCCAGGGGUAAGCGAGGAGAGGCCAGAAAGCAGGACCCAUGAGAAGGACCCCCUCCUGGAGUUUGAGGCCCAUUCCUUCCUGCCCCUGCGUCUCCUCUUUCCAGGACUCCUCCCUGCUCUGCCGCACUCCUGGGGCCAUGGCCAUGGGGGGCUGCAUUUGGGUACAGGCCCCAGCGGCAACCCUGGGCCCAAAAUGGGCGGGCUCACCUGGAGGGGAUCAGAGUAACAUGGCAAGAAGCAGGAAAAGCCGCGCUGGAACCGCACCUCUCUGCCCCCUGAUGUCAGUGGGUGCACUCUUCCCUCACCUCACUCAGGCAGCGGCAUGAGUUCCAUGGGAGCACUGUCCUGCUCCCUCUGCUGCCUCUUUUUAGUCUUGGGGCUACCAUAACACUUUCCCUUCCCCAGCCCUGCCAACCUGGUGGCACAUUGGGCUUCCCUCUUACACGGUCCUGGGGACAGGCCCGUCUUGUAUCAUACCUGCAGCGAGACCCUUUUUUUCUCCAGGGCCUGGGGAGCAGCCAGGCUUCCUGAGCCAAAUACAGAUCUGAACCAUACCAAGCUGGGAUUGGGGUACACACUCUCCUCCUCUGAAAAC